AUGUUAACGUAUGAUAUGUUAAUAUCGGUUUUCUAAAAAAUCGAUGUUAAUGCAUACACGUUAACAU
Non-coding RNA from Glycine soja, 67 nucleotides. NCBI's taxonomy places the organism in Eukaryota, Viridiplantae, Streptophyta, Magnoliopsida, Fabales, Fabaceae. The record is from Rfam.